Molecule: ribosomal RNA, 505 nt
Filed under: uncultured bacterium
Lineage: Bacteria
Description: bacterial SSU rRNA
Rfam family: Bacterial small subunit ribosomal RNA
Source: RNAcentral
GAUCAUGGCUCAGGAUGAACGCUAGCUACAGGCUUAACACAUGCAAGUCGAGGGGUAGCAGGGUAGCAAUACCGCUGACGACCGGCGCACGGGUGAGUAACACGUAUCCAACCUUCCCAUAACUCAGGGAUAGCCUUUCGAAAGAAAGAUUAAUACCUGAUAGUACUUUUUCAAGGCAUCUUGAGAAGUUAAAGAUUUAUUGGUUAUGGAUGGGGAUGCGUUCCAUUAGAUAGUUGGUGAGGUAACGGCUCACCAAGUCUUCGAUGGAUAGGGGUUCUGAGAGGAAGGUCCCCCACAUUGGUACUGAGACACGGACCAAACUCCUACGGGAGGCAGCAGUGAGGAAUAUUGGUCAAUGGGCGAGAGCCUGAACCAGCCAAGUAGCGUGAAGGAUGAAGGUCCUAUGGAUUGUAAACUUCUUUUAUAGUAGAAUAAAGUGAUCCACGUGUGGAUUUUUGUAUGUAUACUAUGAAUAAGGAUCGGCUAACUCCGUGCCAGCAGCCGC